UCACAUGGAUAAUUGCCUUUUCACUAUU
RNAcentral lists this small RNA (28 nucleotides) under Bombyx mori (domestic silkworm). Its description in RNAcentral is "piRNA piR-bmo-1939332". Lineage: Eukaryota; Metazoa; Arthropoda; Insecta; Lepidoptera; Bombycidae. The record is from RNAcentral.